AUUUCUUACAUCUUUAGGCCCAGAUUUUAAUCGUCCAGGCUCAAUAUUAGGCCCAUAACGUUCGGUUUGUAGUUGUACAAUCGCAAAAAACGUAGGUAGUCCCGCUAGUUCAGCUACUGUUACUUCCACUAACUAUCCUUCGUCUCUACAGAGCAUCAAAGACUUCCAUGUCUUUACAAUUCAGUCCUCACGACACCUCUGUAAUUACCCUUUUGCCCUCUGUCCUCCAUAACUAUCCUUGUCUCUCUUCCCUCUCUAUUUCUCGCGGCUUCACCAAAAUCAAUACCCCAAGCGUUCGGAUGAUGAUCAUUUUCUCUUUUUAUUACUAUCAUACACGGCCGCUAGUCC
Molecule: long non-coding RNA, 348 nt
Organism: Arabidopsis thaliana (thale cress)
Lineage: Eukaryota; Viridiplantae; Streptophyta; Magnoliopsida; Brassicales; Brassicaceae
Product: other RNA
Exons: 1
Source: RefSeq